GUUUGAUCAUGGCUCAGGACGAACGCUGGCGGCGUGCUUAACACAUGCAAGUCGAGCGGUAAGGCCCUUCGGGGUACACGAGCGGCGAACGGGUGAGUAACACGUGAGCAAUCUGCCCUCCACAUCGGGAUACCCCCCGGAAACGGGAGCUAAUACCGGAUACGACCACUUCAGGCAUCUGAUGGUGGUGGAAAGUUCCGGCGGUGGAGGAUGGGCCCGCGUAGGAUUAGCUAGUUGGUGAGGUAACGGCUCACCAAGGCGACGAUCCUUAGCUGGUUUGAGAGAACGACCAGCCACACUGGGACUGAGACACGGCCCAGACUCCUACGGGAGGCAGCAGUGGGGAAUAUUGGACAAUGGGCGCAAGCCUGAUCCAGCCAUGCCGCGUGAGUGAUGAAGGCCUUAGGGUUGUAAAGCUCUUUUGGCGGGGACGAUAAUGACGGUACCCGCAGAAUAAGUCCCGGCUAACUUCGUGCCAGCAGCCGCGGUAA
This 491-nucleotide ribosomal RNA is filed under the name uncultured bacterium. Its description in RNAcentral is "bacterial SSU rRNA". It matches the Rfam family "Bacterial small subunit ribosomal RNA", at positions 11 to 523 of the family's 1533-position model. The record is from RNAcentral.